This 440-nucleotide ribosomal RNA is filed under the name uncultured bacterium. RNAcentral's name for it is "partial 16S ribosomal RNA". It matches the Rfam family "Bacterial small subunit ribosomal RNA", at positions 338 to 795 of the family's 1533-position model. The record is from RNAcentral.
CCUACGGGAGGCAGCAGUGGGGAAUAUUGCACAAUGGGGGAAACCCGGAUGCAGCGACGCCGCGUGAAGGAAGAAGUCUUUCGGUAUGUAACCUUCUAUCAGCAGGGAAGAAAAUGACGGUACCUGACUAAGAAGCCCCGGCUAACUACGUGCCAGCAGCCGCGGUAAGACGUAGGGGGCAAGCGUUAUCCGGAUUUACUGGGUGUAAAGGGAGCGUAGGCGGUUUAGCAAGUCAGAAGUGAAAGCCCGGGGCUCAACUCCGGGACUGCUUUUGAAACUGUUGCACUAGAUAGCAGGAGAGGUAAGUGGAAUUCCUAGUGUAGCGGUGAAAUGCGUAGAUAUUAGGAGGAACACCAGUGGCGAAGGCGGCUUACUGGACUGUAAAUGACGCUGAGGCUCGAAAGCGUGGGGAGCAAACAGGAUUAGAUACCCGAGUAGUC